Molecule: long non-coding RNA, 106 nt
Organism: Limulus polyphemus (Atlantic horseshoe crab)
Lineage: Eukaryota; Metazoa; Arthropoda; Merostomata; Xiphosura; Limulidae
Exons: 3
Source: RefSeq, a predicted model, not a curated record
AUUAUAAUGUGAUGGUCAAUCCCACUAUUCGUUGGUAAAGAAUAGCCCGAGAGUUGGCGGUAGGCAGUGUUAACUCUGCCUUCCCUCUUGUCUUACACACUAAAUU